CACGAACUGCGCAAACGUUAUUCGGAAUCACUGGGCUUAAAGAGUCCGUAGGCGGCUCGGUAGGUGAGGUGUGAAAUCCCACGGCUCAACCGUGGAAUUGCGCUUCAAACCACCGGGCUUGAGGGAGAUAGAGGAGAGCGGAACUGAUGGUGGAGCGGUGAAAUGCGUUGAUAUCAUCAGGAACACCGGUGGCGAAAGCGGCUCUCUGGGUCUCUUCUGACGCUGAGGAACGAAAGCUAGGGGAGCAAACGGG
RNAcentral lists this ribosomal RNA (253 nucleotides) under uncultured bacterium. Its description in RNAcentral is "partial 16S ribosomal RNA". It matches the Rfam family "Bacterial small subunit ribosomal RNA", at positions 524 to 776 of the family's 1533-position model. The record is from RNAcentral.